Molecule: transfer RNA, 65 nt
Filed under: Dipodomys ordii (Ord's kangaroo rat)
Lineage: Eukaryota; Metazoa; Chordata; Mammalia; Rodentia; Heteromyidae
Rfam family: tRNA
About the family: Transfer RNA (tRNA) molecules are approximately 80 nucleotides in length. Their secondary structure includes four short double-helical elements and three loops (D, anti-codon, and T loops).
Source: Rfam by way of RNAcentral
GGUGGCUCAGUGGUAGAGUGCUUGCCUUGCAUGCAUGAGACCCUGGCUUCGAUUCCUGAGCACCA